CCUACGGGCGGCAGCAGUGGGGGAUAUUGCACAAUGGGGGAAACCCUGAUGCAGCGACGCCGCGUGGGUGAAGAAGCGCCUCGGCGCGUAAAGCCCUGUCAGCAGGGAAGAAAAUGAAGGUACCUGAAGAAGAAGCCCCGGCUAACUACGUGCCAGCAGCCGCGGUAAUACGUAGGAGGCAAGCGUUAUCCGGAUUUACUGGGUGUAAAGGGGGCGCAGACGGGGAUGCAAGCCAGGAGUGAAAGCCCGGGGCCCAACCCUGGGACUGCUCUUGGAACUGCGUGGCUAGAGUGCAGGAGGGGCAGGCGGAAUUCCUGGUGUAGCGGUGAAAUGCGUAGAUAUCAGGAGGAACACCGGUGGCGAAGGCGGCCUGCUGGACUGCAACUGACGUUGAGGCCCGUAAGCGUGGGGAGCAAACAGGAUUAGAUACCCGGGUAGUC
Molecule: ribosomal RNA, 440 nt
Filed under: uncultured bacterium
Lineage: Bacteria
Description: partial 16S ribosomal RNA
Rfam family: Bacterial small subunit ribosomal RNA
Source: RNAcentral